UGGGGAAUUGUUCGCAAUGGGCGCAAGCCUGACGACGCAACGCCGCGUGGAGGAUGAAGACCUUCGGGUCGUAAACUCCUUUCGAUCGAGACGAAUGGCCUCCGGGUGAACAAUCCGGAGGAGUGACGGUACCCUCAAAGGAAGCACCGGCUAACUCUGUGCCAGCAGCCGCGGUAAUACAGAGGGUGCGAGCGUUGUCCGGAAUCACUGGGCGUAAAGGGCGCGUAGGCGGCCCGGUAAGUAGGGGGUGAAAUCUCAUGGCUCAACUGUGAGGCUGCCUUCUAGACUGCCAGGCUUGAGCACAGUAGAGGCGAGUGGAAUUCCCGGUGUAGCGGUGGAAUGCGUAGAGAUCGGGAAGAACAUCGGUGGCGAAGGCGGCUCGCUGGGCUGUUGCUGACGCUGAGGCGCGAAAGCGUGGGGAGCAAACAGGAUUAGAUACCCCGGUAGUCCCUGAGCGGGCUGGCAAGGCGCAU
Molecule: ribosomal RNA, 473 nt
Filed under: uncultured bacterium
Lineage: Bacteria
Description: bacterial SSU rRNA
Rfam family: Bacterial small subunit ribosomal RNA
Source: RNAcentral